CAGCAGGGCGAGGAGGGGACUGUCCCCUCUGCUCCACUCUCGUGACACCUCACCUGCAGCACUGUCACCAGCACCGAGGGCUCAGCACAGGAGAGAUGUGGGCCUGAUGGAACAGCUCCAGAGGAGGCCAAGAAGAUCUCUAGGAUGACACACUGAACAGGAGUGGUGGAGCAGCUCUGACAAGAGAGACUCCAAGUCACAGAACAAGACACCCUUCAGAGGUUGCAUCAUCAUCAUUGUGAACGUACUGGCAUAUUGGGAGAGACUGUGGAAGUCAUGAAAGUAAAAUCUUCAUCAGAUCAUGAGAGGAUGAAAAGUUAAACUCCUUUUAGGCAGAACGUGAUCCUUGGUGGCUGUCAGAGCUCUGCCUACAACUUGUGCUUCAAACCUUCAUUGA
Pyrgilauda ruficollis (rufous-necked snowfinch) is the source of this 397-nucleotide long non-coding RNA. RefSeq lists it as uncharacterized. The transcript is spliced from 3 exons. NCBI's taxonomy places the organism in Eukaryota, Metazoa, Chordata, Aves, Passeriformes, Passeridae. The record is from RefSeq and is a predicted model, not a curated record.